This 255-nucleotide ribosomal RNA is filed under the name uncultured bacterium. Its description in RNAcentral is "partial 16S ribosomal RNA". It matches the Rfam family "Bacterial small subunit ribosomal RNA", at positions 524 to 777 of the family's 1533-position model. The record is from RNAcentral.
GACGAACCGUGCGAACGUUAUUCGGAAUCACUGGGCUUAAAGCGCGUGUAGGCGGCCCGGCACGUCCGUCGCUGAAAUCCCCCGGCUCAACCGGGGAAGUGGCGUGGAUACGACCGGGCUGGAGGGGGGUAGGGGGAGCCGGAACUUCCGGUGGAGCGGUGAAAUGCGUUGAGAUCGGAAGGAACGCCCGUGGCGAAAGCGGGCUCCUGGACCCCACCUGACGCUGAGACGCGAAAGCCAGGGGAGCGAACGGGG